Long non-coding RNA from Canis lupus familiaris (dog), 184 nucleotides. RefSeq lists it as uncharacterized. The record is from RefSeq and is a predicted model, not a curated record. NCBI's taxonomy places the organism in Eukaryota, Metazoa, Chordata, Mammalia, Carnivora, Canidae. The transcript is spliced from 3 exons.
CUCUGAAUGGCUGUGAAGUCCAUCUCAUGGACCUGGAGACCAUAUCCCAAGGAAUGAGUUUUCCAUGGAACUUAAUGUGGGGAAUGCAAGCCUCAAGAAAUCAAUUCACUGGAAGGAGUUCUCUUGUUAAUGCUACACGGAAAAGUUAAUGCUACAAAAACUACAGGAAGGACCAAAUUUUGUA